This 447-nucleotide long non-coding RNA is filed under the name Phoenix dactylifera (date palm). RNAcentral describes it as "long non-coding RNA (PDAC_LNC003188)". The record is from RNAcentral. Lineage: Eukaryota; Viridiplantae; Streptophyta; Magnoliopsida; Arecales; Arecaceae.
AACGGCAAGGAUAUAUGCUUGAAAUGACUAAAGGCAUUAAAUUGGAUGGAAAAAUAUACCUAUUCUUAAAACAUUAAGAAAACAACAAGCAUAUCAAAGUUACACAUAAUAAAUCAAUAUACAUCUUGAUGAGUUCCUUGUUACUAUAACUCAACAGCCAUUCUUUCUGCUGGGUUUCCAUGAUCUACAUCUACAGCAAAAUUUACAACCAUAUUAGCUGAAUAUAUAUGUUACAAAAGCAUUUGAAAAAGUUAUAUAGAAAUACAUUUUUUUAUCUUGUAAAUAGGAGAUGAUGGAAACCAACCAGCAAAAAAAAAGAAAAGAGAAAGAGAAAUCUUCAAGUAUGACGGAUCAACGCCGGAAUACAUGCUCCUCGCCGGUGUCGCGAUCCACAUGUUUUAUCCACCGACCACAACCACUGCCCAAGCUCGGCCCCUUCCCCACCCC